AACGAACGCUGGCGGCAGGCUUAACACAUGCAAGUCAAGGGGCCCUUCGGGGCACCGGCGCACGGGUGCGUAACGCGUGGGAAUAUACCCCUGGGUGAGGAAUAACGUAGAGAAAUUUGCGCUAAUACCUCAUAAUAACUUCGGUUCAAAGAUUUAUCGCCGAGGGAUUAGCCCGCGUUAGAUUAGAUAGUUGGUGAGGUAACGGCUCACCAAGUCGACGAUCUAUAGGGGGUCUGAGAGGAUGAUCCCCCACACUGGUACUGAGACACGGACCAGACUCCUACGGGAGGCAGCAGUGAGGAAUAUUGGACAAUGGGGGAAACCCUGAUCCAGCCAUGCCGCGUGAGUGAAGAAGGCCCUAGGGUUGUAAAGCUCUUUCAAACGUGAAGAUAAUGACGGUAGCGUUAGAAGAAGCUCCGGCUAAAUUCG
RNAcentral lists this ribosomal RNA (429 nucleotides) under uncultured Alphaproteobacteria bacterium. RNAcentral describes it as "bacterial SSU rRNA". It matches the Rfam family "Bacterial small subunit ribosomal RNA", at positions 29 to 505 of the family's 1533-position model. Lineage: Bacteria; Pseudomonadati; Pseudomonadota; Alphaproteobacteria. The record is from RNAcentral.